AUCCUUAGUCAUAUUUCCAAGAAAAGCUCCGAUUACUUUAUAAUUUAAAUAACCUGUACCCUAAACCGACACAGGUAGGUAGGUAGAGAAUACUAAGGGGCGCGAGAUAACUCUCUCUAAGGAACUCGGCAAAAUAACUCCGUAACUUCGGGAGAAGGAGUGGCUAGAGAUAGCCCGCAGUGACCAGGCCCAGGCGACUGUUUAUCAAAAACACAGGUUUCCGCAAAAUCGUAAGAUAAAGUAUGGGAGCUGACGCCUGCCCAGUGUCGGAAGGUAAAAGAAGUUGGUUAUUCUUCGGAAGAAGCUGACGACUGAAGCCCCGAUGAACGGCGGCUGUAACACUGACAGUCCUAAGGUAGCGAAAUUCAUUGCCAAGUAAGUUUUGGCCCGCACGAAAGGCGUAACGAUCUGGGUACUGUCUCGGAGAGAGACUCGGUGAAAUAGAAAUGUCUGUGAAGAUGCGGACUACCUAUACCAGGACAGAAAGACCCUGUGAAGCUUGACUGUAGCUUGGAAUUGGAUUCGGGCUCUUUUUGUGCAGUCUAGGUGGGAGGCGAUGAUAUACUGUUUUCGGACAGUGUGGAGCCAUCAGUGAGAGACCACUCUGAAAGAGCUAGGAUCCUAAUACGAAUCCUUGAAUCAGGAUCGUUAACAGUUUCAGGCGGACAGUUUGUUUGGGGCGAAUACCUCCCAAAAAGUAACGGAGGUGUGCAAAGGCUUCCUCAGGCUGGACGGAAAUCAGCUGUAGAGUGUAAAAGUAUAAGGGAGCUUGACUGCAAGACCAACAAGUCGAGCAGGAGUGAAAGCUGGCUUUAGUGAUCCGACGGUACCGAGUGGAAGGGCCGUCGCUCAACGAAUAAAAGUUACUCCAGGAUAACAGGCUAAUCACUUCCAAGAGUUCGUAUCGACGAAGUGGUUUGGCACCUCGAUGUCGGCUCAUCGCAACCUGGGGCUGUAGUCGGUCCCAAGGGUUGGACUGUUCGUCCAUUAAAGCGGUACGUGAGCUGGGUUCAGAACGUCGUGAGACAGUUCGGUCCAUAUCCGGUAUAGGCGUAAGAGCAUUGAGAGGAGCUCGACAUUGUACGAGAGGACCCGAAGGGUCGUACCGAUGGUGUACCAGUUCUUGUACCAACAGGAAACGCUGGGUAGCUAUGUACGAAGUGGAUAAUCGCUGAAAGCAUUUAAGUGAGAAGCCCACCUCAAGAUGAAUGCUCUCUAUUAGAUCGCAGCAAGAUAAUCUGAUUAAUUGGCGUUAGGUGUAAGGUCAGUAAUGGCUUCAGCCGAGACGUACAAAGGAUCGA
Molecule: ribosomal RNA, 1301 nt
Filed under: metagenome
Description: bacterial LSU rRNA
Rfam family: Bacterial large subunit ribosomal RNA
Source: RNAcentral